This is a non-coding RNA of Pelobates cultripes (western spadefoot toad), 830 nucleotides long. The record is from the annotation of a GenBank genome assembly. NCBI's taxonomy places the organism in Eukaryota, Metazoa, Chordata, Amphibia, Anura, Pelobatidae.
GGAGGGUUCACUUCAUUUGUCCUUCCUGCUCCAAUCUCCUUUUCCUCUCCUUCAUUUGACGGUCUUCUUUUUCUUCUGACACUGUUUUCUAUCCUUGGCUCCUUCUGCUCCUUUACCUUUCUGCUAUUUUCUGCUUAUUUUGUGCCCUUCUGCUCCUUUCUCAUUCUGAUCCAUUUCUGCUCCUUGCAGACCCUUCCUGCUCCUUUUUCUACUUUACCUUGGUGCUCCUUGCUGUCCCUUUCUGCUCCGUCUCCUACUUUACCUUUGUGCUCCUUCUGUCCCUUUCUGCUCCUUUCUGCCCCUUCCUGCUCCUUGUAGGCCCUUCCUGCUCAUUCUCCUAAUUUACGUUUGUGCUCCUUCUGUCCCUUCCAGCUCAUUUCUGACCCUUUCUGCUCCUUCUACUUUACCUUUGUGCUGCUUUACCUCCCAGCUCCUUGCUGACCCUUCCUGUUCAUUUCUGAACACCCUUGCUGACUCUUCAUGUAGACUGUCUCCCCCAUCCCUCACUUCCAUAGGCGUGCGCACGGGGUGUGUCGGGUGUGCCUGGGCACACCCUAAUCCCUGCGGCACGCCAAUGAAUUGAGAACGGCAGGCUAUCCGAGCGGCGGCUCUGGUCUAAGCCUCCAUGGGCCGGUGGGGAGAUCAAAGCUCUACCUCACCAGCCCACAGCAGCAUGGAGGGAGGCAGCAGAGAACCCGGGCUAGGGUUCACUCUCCACUGAACCACCAGGGAAGGCAGCAGGAUGGGAUAUUAACUAAUCUGCCCCCACCUCCACCCAAACAUACAGCACACACACACAAACAGCACCUACACACAUACAGCACACACAG